UACGGAGGGUGCAAGCGUUGUCCGGAAUCACUGGGCGUAAAGGGCGCGUAGGCGGCUCAUGAAGGCUGUGGUGAAAGUCCGGGGCUCAACCUCGGAUCGGCCGUGGCGACUCGUGGGCUGGAGCACUGUAGAGGCGGGUGGAAUUCCGGGUGUAGCGGUGGAAUGCGUAGAGAUCAGGAGGAACACCCAUGGCGAAGGCAGCGCUCUGGUCGGCAUCUGACGCUGAGAGGCGAAAGCGUGGGGAGCGAACGGG
RNAcentral lists this ribosomal RNA (253 nucleotides) under uncultured bacterium. Its description in RNAcentral is "partial 16S ribosomal RNA". It matches the Rfam family "Bacterial small subunit ribosomal RNA", at positions 524 to 776 of the family's 1533-position model. The record is from RNAcentral.